RNAcentral lists this ribosomal RNA (950 nucleotides) under Lepiota sp. RNAcentral describes it as "partial large subunit ribosomal RNA". It matches the Rfam family "Eukaryotic large subunit ribosomal RNA", at positions 22 to 953 of the family's 3401-position model. Lineage: Eukaryota; Fungi; Basidiomycota; Agaricomycetes; Agaricales; Agaricaceae. The record is from RNAcentral.
UUAUAUACCGGGGUGAGAAAUAGCAUAUCAAUAAGCGGAGGAAAAGAAACUAACAAGGAUUCCCCUAGUAACUGCGAGUGAAGCGGGAAAAGCUCAAAUUUAAAAUCUGGCGGUCCUUGGCCGUCCGAGUUGUAAUCUAGAGAAGUGUUACCCGCGCUGGACCAUGUACAAGUCUCCUGGAAUGGAGCGUCAUAGAGGGUGAGAAUCCCGUCUCUGACAUGGACUACCAGGGCUUUGUGGUAUGCUCUCAAAGAGUCGAGUUGUUUGGGAAUGCAGCUCAAAAUGGGUGGUAAAUUCCAUCUAAAGCUAAAUAUUGGCGAGAGACCGAUAGCGAACAAGUACCGUGAGGGAAAGAUGAAAAGAACUUUGGAAAGAGAGUUAAACAGUACGUGAAAUUGCUGAAAGGGAAACGCUUGAAGUCAGUCACGUUGGCCAGGGAUCAGCCUCACAAUUUGUGUGGUGUACUUUCUGGUUAAUGGGUCAGCAUCAAUUUUGACUGUUGGAAAAAGACUUGGGGAAUGUGAUAGCUUUGGCUGUGUUAUAGCCCCUUGUCAUAUACAGCAGUUGGGAUUGAGGUAUUCAGCACGCCGCAAGGCCGGGUUUCGACCACGUUCGUGCUUAGGAUGCUGGCAUAAUGGCUUUAAGCGACCCGUCUUGAAACACGGACCAAGGAGUCUAACAUGCCUGCGAGUGUUUGGGUGGAAAACCCGAGCGCAUAAUGAAAGUGAAAGUUGAGAUCCCUGUCGUGGGGAGCAUCGACGCCCGGACCAGAACUUUUGGGACGGAUCCGCGGUAGAGCAUGUAUGUUGGGACCCGAAAGAUGGUGAACUAUGCCUGAAUAGGGUGAAGCCAGAGGAAACUCUGGUGGAGGCUCGUAGCGAUUCUGACGUGCAAAUCGAUCGUCAAAUUUGGGUAUAGGGGCGAAAGACUAAUCGACCAUCUAGUGGCCG